RNAcentral lists this ribosomal RNA (496 nucleotides) under uncultured bacterium. RNAcentral describes it as "partial 16S ribosomal RNA". It matches the Rfam family "Bacterial small subunit ribosomal RNA", at positions 28 to 506 of the family's 1533-position model. The record is from RNAcentral.
GAUGAACGCUGGCGGCGUGCCUAAUACAUGCAAGUCGAGCGAACAGACGAGGAGCUUGCUCCUCUGACGUUAGCGGCGGACGGGUGAGUAACACGUGGAUAACCUACCUAUAAGACUGGGAUAACUUCGGGAAACUGGAGCUAAUACCGGAUAAUAUAUUGAACCGCAUGGUUCAAUAGUGAAAGACGGUUUUGCUGUCACUUAUAGAUGGAUCCGCGCCGCAUUAGCUAGUUGGUAAGGUAACGGCUUACCAAGGCAACGAUGCGUAGCCGACCUGAGAGGGUGAUCGGCCACACUGGAACUGAGACACGGUCCAGACUCCUACGGGAGGCAGCAGUAGGGAAUCUUCCGCAAUGGGCGAAAGCUUGACGGAGCAACGCCGCGUGAGUGAUGAAGGUCUUCGGAUCGUAAAACUCUGUUAUUAGGGAAGAACAAAUGUGUAAGUAACUAUGCACGUCUUGACGGUACCUAAUCAGAAAGCCACGGCUAACUACGU